AGGUUGAUCUAUUGUCCCUCCUUGUC
This 26-nucleotide non-coding RNA is filed under the name Homo sapiens (human). The record is from RNAcentral. Lineage: Eukaryota; Metazoa; Chordata; Mammalia; Primates; Hominidae.